UAAUGUAUGGGGAUCUGCCCGAUAGAGGGGGAUAACUACUGGAAACGGUGGCUAAUACCGCAUAAUGUCUACGGACCAAGCAGGGGCUCUUCGGACCUUGCACUAUCGGAUGAACCCAUAUGGGAUUGCUAGUAGGUGGGGUAAAGGCUCACCUAGGCGACGAUCUCUAGCUGGUCUGAGAGGAUGAUCAGCCACACUGGGACUGAGACACGGCCCAG
This 218-nucleotide ribosomal RNA is filed under the name uncultured bacterium. RNAcentral's name for it is "partial 16S ribosomal RNA". It matches the Rfam family "Bacterial small subunit ribosomal RNA", at positions 111 to 334 of the family's 1533-position model. The record is from RNAcentral.